AAGAAAUUGUAAAAGAAUAGCAAACCAAAUUACAGUGGAAAGAAGCAAGAAGGUGUACCUGGAAAAAUGAACCAAAGAACGAACCCUAGGCACCAAGAAGCAAGAACAGAGAAGAAGCUUUAUGCGUAAGAGAAGAAGCAUCCAGAGAGAAUAAGAAAAAGGAGUAUUAUUGGAAUGUAAAAAUUUGAUAAUCUGAGAUGAAAGAAAUACAAUAAAAAGGGGAAAAAGAG
Molecule: long non-coding RNA, 230 nt
Filed under: Vigna radiata
Lineage: Eukaryota; Viridiplantae; Streptophyta; Magnoliopsida; Fabales; Fabaceae
Description: long non-coding RNA (VRAD_LNC002773)
Source: RNAcentral